RNAcentral lists this ribosomal RNA (494 nucleotides) under uncultured bacterium. RNAcentral describes it as "bacterial SSU rRNA". It matches the Rfam family "Bacterial small subunit ribosomal RNA", at positions 47 to 518 of the family's 1533-position model. The record is from RNAcentral.
CCUAACACAUGCAAGUCGAACGUAUCUUGAUUAUAGCAAUAUUAUUAAAGAGGAGUGGCGAACGGGUGAGUAACACGUAGAUAAUCUGCCUUCAGACGGGGACAACUCAGGGAAACUUGUGCUAAUACCCGAUGAGACCACAAGAAGGGAUUUUUGUGGCCAAAGGCGGGCAGCAAUGCUCGUGCUGAAAGAUGAGUCUGCGUCCUAUCAGCUAGUUGGUGGGGUAAAUGCCUACCAAGGCUAAGACGGGUAGCCGGCCUGAGAGGGUGAACGGCCACACUGGGACUGAGACACGGCCCAGACUCCUACGGGAGGCAGCAGUGAGGAAUUUUCCGCAAUGGGCGCAAGCCUGACGGAGCGACGCCGCGUGAGGGAUGAACAGCUUUCGGGUUGUAAACCUCUUUUAUUAAAGGAAAAAGAUCUAUAUGCUAAUAUCAUGUAGAUUUGAUGGUACUUAUUGAAUAAGCCCCGGCUAACUACGUGCCAGCAGCGGC